ACUGGGGACCAAGUAUCCAAACACCUGAGCCUCUGGGGGCCACCGUUUCAAGCCACCACACAGUGACUAAGGUCUUUACAACCUUUGAGAUCCACCCACGUAGCAACUGUCCUGCUUGCCUACCCUAGGAUAAGGGUCACCAUCCUGUGUGUGACACACACACACAAAGGAAUCAAAGCAGCCAUGUGACCUAAUUCUGCUUCAUCUUCUCUGCUGCUGCUCUCGUUCCUGUGACAACGGAUGGUCAUAUCCUUGUCAACGAACAUGCCUCUGCCUCCUUCACCAGAGAGGAUGGGUUGGGAUAUGUGUCAUUAGCCCACCAUGGGCUACCAGUCUCUGUCAGCCCUACCACAUCCCUCAUCUCCAAUUAAAGCUAUCCCAGAGGCACCAAAACACACCAGCCUCACAGUAAGGAAUGAAAAUACAGACUUCUUGGAUUCAUUCGACAAAGAUACGAAUGGUGAAAGCUGAGCUGUGUGGACGAUUCUUCUUCCUCUAAUUCCAAAGUGCCCUGUGUGCAUGGCAGCCGCCCACCUCAUUCAUCUGCGUGAGGGACAGCAGGUGGAGAGAACAGCAGGAAGAUGCCCAGCUUGACAUGUACUGCUGGCUCUGGUGACAAGAAGAUGAAAUUCUAUCAUGCAUCUGACAGGAGAUCUCAGAAGUGACUAAUUUAAUCCCUCAGGCCUCUUUAGAAGGAGCCUCCUCUUUGCUGGCUACUUGUCCCUCUGUUCAGCCAGGCACCCGCUCAGCAAGGCAGUCAGGCCCACUCUCAGCAGGGAGUAUGUGGGUAUGCAGGGAGUACUCAGUCCCCACUGAGCUGAGGAAGUGAAAGCCAUUCAGCAGGGCUCUCAACCUGAAUCUUUUGCAUAACACUCCUCCAGUGCUGGACUUUCCAGUGCCCUGGAAAUCCCUCUGUGCAGCUACCUACCACUGACUUCUUUGGCCUUGAUCCUUUGCCUCUUAGGCUCAUUCUCAUAGAGAUGAGCUUCCUGAAAGCUACUGUCAUGGCGGGUGGCAAAAGAGCCUUUGCCGUCAGAGUACACUAGUCUAAGAGACUUCAAUCGGACCCCCAAUACAUCUUACCAGCACUACGUCCUAAAUAUAACUUUUCCUUUCACAUCAGAAGUGCCAGAUCACCUCAUAGCCCAGACUGCAAACAAAUGAGAUACAUCCCAUUAUUUCCCAGCCCUGUAUCUAUGGCAGGCAUCACUAAUCAAUCACCACUUCUAUUUUUAUAUCUGGACUAUGAGGCUAAUGACAGUAAACUCAGGGAGUCCUUCAAAGGGGCCAGAAUGACACCCCUGCUUUACCAUAGCUCUGCUCCCUCCUCCUACAGGAUCUCCCUAGAUCUUCAAAAUCAACCUUGUUAUACUCCUUCCUCCUGGUAUUAGUAUGCCAAAGAUAUUUGCCACAGAAACAGAUAUAGGGACCCAAGCGCGAGAUUUCACAGCACCCAGAGCUGAGAAUUUGGUUGUGAGAGCAACAUAGCACCUUAGCAGCCAAGAAGGAGGGGACUAUUCUGAGCUCCUCGGCUACGGUGUUCAUCUGUACACAGAGGAACAGAAAGACGUUAACGGCUGCCUAAUACGUCAUGCCAUACUCUCCUUUCACACUUGAAGCACAUUGCAAAUGAGUGACACAUGUCUCACUUCUCCUCAGUCCUGUACCUAAGGCAGGCAUUAUUAAUCAAUCACCAUACUCUUCUCCACUGAGCCCAGACACAAUAUCAGAAGCCUUUGCCUGCCACACAUCAAUUACAUGAGCCCAGAUAUAUUCAGCAAACACUAACUCCUCAGAGUAGGUAAGCAACCAGAAAGGCAAGGAG
Molecule: long non-coding RNA, 1825 nt
Organism: Mus musculus (house mouse)
Lineage: Eukaryota; Metazoa; Chordata; Mammalia; Rodentia; Muridae
Product: predicted gene, 33243
Exons: 3
Source: RefSeq, a predicted model, not a curated record